AAUAGUCCUGAAACAAGGAAGGUGUACUGUAAUGGUAUUCUAGGUAUUGCCCUCUUCAAUUGUUAAAUUUUAUAAUUCUGAAUACAAAUCAUUGUGAUAAUAUUGUGAUUCAUCAUUUUAUUUCCUUCCUAAAGUUUAUGAUUGUGAAUGACUAAAUGUAAAGACUUCCAUAUAGUAACUAUCAAGAGCAAAAACUUGCUUCUUAAUAGACAUCUUUGAAAAGUAUAAUAGUUUAAAGAUAAAAGCUCACUUUAAUGAAGUAAUGUUUACAUCUGAUUGCUUCCACUGUUGACUUUUAAAACUCCACUAUGUUUUUAGAAACAUAA
RNAcentral lists this long non-coding RNA (326 nucleotides) under Bos taurus (domestic cattle). Its description in RNAcentral is "long non-coding RNA NONBTAT025369". Lineage: Eukaryota; Metazoa; Chordata; Mammalia; Artiodactyla; Bovidae. The record is from RNAcentral.